RNAcentral lists this ribosomal RNA (497 nucleotides) under uncultured bacterium. RNAcentral's name for it is "partial 16S ribosomal RNA". It matches the Rfam family "Bacterial small subunit ribosomal RNA", at positions 28 to 507 of the family's 1533-position model. The record is from RNAcentral.
GAUGAACGCUGGCGGCGUGCCUAAUACAUGCAAGUCGAGCGAACAGACGAGGAGCUUGCUCCUUUGACGUUAGCGGCGGACGGGUGGGUAACACGUAGGUAACCUACCUAUAAGACUGGGAUAACUUCGGGAAACCGGAGCUAAUACCGGAUAAUAUUUCGAACCGCAUGGUUCGAUAGUGAAAGAUGGCUUUGCUAUCACUUAUAGAUGGACCUGCGCCGUAUUAGCUAGUUGGUAAGGUAACGGCUUACCAAGGCAACGAUACGUAGCCGACCUGAGAGGGUGAUCGGCCACACUGGAACUGAGACACGGUCCAGACUCCUACGGGAGGCAGCAGUAGGGAAUCUUCCGCAAUGGGCGAAAGCCUGACGGAGCAACGCCGCGUGAGUGAUGAAGGUCUUCUGAUCGUAAAACUCUGUUAUUAGGGAAGAACAAACGUGUAAGUAACUGUGCACGUCUUGACGGUACCUAAUCAGAAAGCCACGGCUAACUACGUG